AAGCUCGUAGUUGAAUUUCGAAUGUGGCUGGGCGGUCCGCCUCACGGUGUGUACUGUCUGGCUGUGUUCUCUUUCUUGGUGAGCCGGCAUGCCCUUUACUGGGUGUGUUGGGGAACCAGGACGUUUACCUUGAGAAAAUUAGAGUGUUCAAAGCAGGCCUACGCCCGAAUACAUUAGCAUGGCAUAAUAAAAUAGAACGUGCGGUUCUAUUUUGUUGGUUUCUAGAGCCGCAGUAAUGAUUAAUAGGGAUAGUUGGG
RNAcentral lists this ribosomal RNA (257 nucleotides) under uncultured Basidiomycota. RNAcentral's name for it is "partial 18S ribosomal RNA". It matches the Rfam family "Eukaryotic small subunit ribosomal RNA", at positions 624 to 886 of the family's 1831-position model. Lineage: Eukaryota; Fungi; Basidiomycota. The record is from RNAcentral.